GAAAUGCGAUAAGUAAUGUGAAUUGCAGAAUUCAGUGAAUCAUCGAAUCUUUGAACGCACCUUGCACUCCUUGGUAUUCCGAGGAGUAUGCCUGUUUGAGUCUCAUGGUAUUCUCAACCCCUAAAUUUUUGUAAUGAAGGUUUAGCGGGCUUGGACUUGGAGGUUGUGUCGGCCCUUGUCGGUCGACUCCUCUGAAAUGCAUUAGCGUGAAUCUUACGGAUCGCCUUCAGUGUGAUAAUUAUCUGCGCUGUGGUGUUGAAGUAUUUAUGGUGUUCAUGCUUCGAACCGUCUCCUUGCCGAGACAAUCAUUUGACAAUCUGAGCUCAAAUCAGGUAGGACUACCCGCUGAACUUAA
This 355-nucleotide unclassified non-coding RNA is filed under the name uncultured Agaricomycetes. RNAcentral describes it as "sequence contains ITS1". The stretch from base 1 to 105 matches the Rfam family "5.8S ribosomal RNA", at positions 50 to 154 of the family's 154-position model. Lineage: Eukaryota; Fungi; Basidiomycota; Agaricomycetes. The record is from RNAcentral. RNAcentral also lists the same sequence under 2 other names.